This 610-nucleotide ribosomal RNA is filed under the name Escherichia coli. Its description in RNAcentral is "partial 23S ribosomal RNA". It matches the Rfam family "Bacterial large subunit ribosomal RNA", at positions 594 to 1205 of the family's 2925-position model. The record is from RNAcentral. Lineage: Bacteria; Pseudomonadati; Pseudomonadota; Gammaproteobacteria; Enterobacterales; Enterobacteriaceae.
UGACUGCGUACCUUUUGUAUAAUGGGUCAGCGACUUAUAUUCUGUAGCAAGGUUAACCGAAUAGGGGAGCCGAAGGGAAACCGAGUCUUAACUGGGCGUUAAGUUGCAGGGUAUAGACCCGAAACCCGGUGAUCUAGCCAUGGGCAGGUUGAAGGUUGGGUAACACUAACUGGAGGACCGAACCGACUAAUGUUGAAAAAUUAGCGGAUGACUUGUGGCUGGGGGUGAAAGGCCAAUCAAACCGGGAGAUAGCUGGUUCUCCCCGAAAGCUAUUUAGGUAGCGCCUCGUGAAUUCAUCUCCGGGGGUAGAGCACUGUUUCGGCAAGGGGGUCAUCCCGACUUACCAACCCGAUGCAAACUGCGAAUACCGGAGAAUGUUAUCACGGGAGACACACGGCGGGUGCUAACGUCCGUCGUGAAGAGGGAAACAACCCAGACCGCCAGCUAAGGUCCCAAAGUCAUGGUUAAGUGGGAAACGAUGUGGGAAGGCCCAGACAGCCAGGAUGUUGGCUUAGAAGCAGCCAUCAUUUAAAGAAAGCGUAAUAGCUCACUGGUCGAGUCGGCCUGCGCGGAAGAUGUAACGGGGCUAAACCAUGCACCGAAGCUGCGG